RNAcentral lists this long non-coding RNA (1702 nucleotides) under Nicotiana benthamiana. Its description in RNAcentral is "long non-coding RNA (NBEN_LNC017336)". The record is from RNAcentral. Lineage: Eukaryota; Viridiplantae; Streptophyta; Magnoliopsida; Solanales; Solanaceae.
UAAAUAAUAAAAGGAGAAAAAUUUUAGAAUAACAUCAAUGAAAGAGGUUAAUACACAAUUGUUUGAGGGUACCCCGUCUCUUGUUUUCGAGAUAAAUUUGGAUGAUGUUUCAUUGAUUCUCUAGAUAAAGAAUUUCACAUUAAGUUCAAAGAAAAAUGUUGUUUUGAUUCUCUGGACGAACAUAACCCAGUUAUUUCUGAAGAAAAGCCAAAUCAAUAUAUCAGAAAAUGAUCCUCUAGUCACAUAUUAUUAGCCUAAUUUACAUUAGAUUAAACAGGGGUGUUUGAGAAAAUAUGUUAACAAAUUAAGGAUUUACAGAGAGAUGAGAAUUAAUAAUAUCCAGAUAUGAGAUUAUUUUAUCCAGUUUGUUGCCUUAUCAUCUCCUUGAACUCUUCAUCAGUAGUCUUGAGCAUCAAAGGCAAGGGAAUUGAAACUCCACUCUGUACAAGUUCAAUGUGCCUUGGCUUUAUCCUCUUCUCCAAACUAAAAGCAAAAUACUGAGGAAACUCCAUUAAUUCAUCCAAUUCUCCCCCCAUUUCUUGAGAAAAGUAUUCAAAUUUAGGCUUGAAAUUGUUGUCCAAUUCAUCCAAUUCACCUCCCAUUUCUUGAGAAAAGUAUUCAAAUUUAGGCUUGAAAUUGUUGUCAAUGCUGAAAGUGAACAGCCCUGGACACCUCAAAGUCAUUUCCACUGCUUCAUUUCUUGAAAAUCCUAGACUUACCAAAUAGUCCAGCUUGGGUAUUAACGUAUUUUCCACACUGGAAACCAGCAAUAUUGGAUCCUGAUAAGCUAAAUGAUGCAAAUCUGUGAACCCAAGUCUUUGAAGAUAAAACAAAGCUGGUUUUAGCUGGUCUUUCACACUGCAAAUUAGUAAUCUUGGACAUUUGUUAAUGACCCUUCUGAAGUUACUUUCAGGGACUCUUGUAGUAAUCUUGGACAUUUGUUAAUUACCCUUCUGAAGUUACUUUCAGGGACUCUUAGAUCUUUUGAGAGGAAGUUGAAAACAGGAUUGAGUUCACAUCUUAUAUCUGAAGUCAAGAUUCUUGGGCACAUGCCAAAGAUUCUUGCAAAGUCCUUUUGGUGAAGGCCUUUGGACUGAAGGAAAGUGAUGAUGGAAUGAAUAGUGUUUAAAGAAGCUGUGUGGAGACAAGGGUUUUGAGAGAGUGCUUUUCCUGAAUCAACACCCAUGAUUUCCAAGCACAAGAUUUUCUCCUUGAAUUGCAAUGAAAUGUUCUUGUGAGUUGGUUGAUAGAGUGGGUUUUUUUGGAGAAUGGAUUUUGGUUUUGUUGAUAAAAGACUCAUUUGUUGCUCUGAUGGUGAUGGUAAUUUCUGAACAGAGAAGCAUAGAGAAGAAUGAAAAGAUGACAUGUUUCAACUAAUGGCAAGUUUUAGUUUGAUUCGAUGGUAUUUUCUGAACAGAGAAGCAUAGAGAAGAAUGAAAAGAUGACAUGUUUGGUAAGGGAAUUUCAACAAUGGCAAGUUUUAGUUUGAUUGAUUCUUAUGAAAUGGAUUCCUUUUUCUUUUGAUGAUUUUUAUAAGGCCACCUGGUAUUUUGGUUUGAAUUUAUUGGCUCUUUGUAGAUUUGGAUAGCAUAUUGUAAAUUACACACCAAGGUUCUUCGACAAGUAACUUAUCCUUUCUGGUAGCAGACAAGUGUCAGAAAAUUGCCACCAUCAACUUUAAACAGUGACUACUUUAGUUGAU